UACGUAGGUGGCAAGCGUUGUCCGGAUUUACUGGGCGUAAAGAGCGCGCAGGCGGUCGUUCAAGUCGCGUGUGAAAGCCCCCGGCUCAACUGGGGAGGGUCACGCGAUACUGAUCGACUCGAAGGCAGGAGAGGGAAGUGGAAUUCCCGGUGUAGUGGUGAAAUGCGUAGAUAUCGGGAGGAACACCAGUGGCGAAGGCGGCUUACUGGUCCGGUUCUGACGCUGAGGCGCGAAAGCGUGGGGAGCAAACAGG
Molecule: ribosomal RNA, 253 nt
Filed under: uncultured bacterium
Lineage: Bacteria
Description: partial 16S ribosomal RNA
Rfam family: Bacterial small subunit ribosomal RNA
Source: RNAcentral